AGCAGCCGCGGUAAUUCCAGCUCCAAUAGCGUAUAUUAAAGUUGUUGCAGUUAAAAAGCUCGUAGUUGAAUUUCGGAGUUUGUCGGUUGGUCGGGCUUAACUGUCCGCACUGACCUGAUGGAUUCCUACCUUCUGAAUAACUAGCAUGCUAUUAAUUUAGUGCGUUAGGGAAGCAGAGCUAUUACCUUGAAAAAAUUAGAGUGCUUAGAGCAGGCUUAUGCUUGAAUAGAUUAGCAUGGAAUAAUAAAAUAGGACGGCUUGGUUCUAUUUUGUUGGUUUCUAGGAUCACCGUAAUGAUUAAUAGGGAUAGUUGGGGGCAUUAGUAUUCAAUUGUCAGAGGUGAAAUUCUUGGAUUUAUUGAAGACUAAACUUCUGCGAAAGCAUUUGCCAAGGAUGUUUUCAUUAAUCAAGAACGAAAGUUAGGGGAUGAAGACGAUCAGAUACCGUCGUAGUCUUAACCAUAAACUAUGCCGACUAGGAAUCGGACGAUGUUAAUUUUUAAUGACUCGUUCGGCGUACC
RNAcentral lists this ribosomal RNA (520 nucleotides) under uncultured Acaulospora. RNAcentral describes it as "SSU rRNA". It matches the Rfam family "Eukaryotic small subunit ribosomal RNA", at positions 569 to 1087 of the family's 1831-position model. The record is from RNAcentral. Lineage: Eukaryota; Fungi; Glomeromycota; Glomeromycetes; Diversisporales; Acaulosporaceae.